CCCACCUAACACGGUCUUUUUUGGUACUUCUUUCGUCCCACUAGAGACGGUUUUUUUUCGUCCUCGAUCCCACCUCCCGCAUCCCCUCGAUUCCCACCUCCGCCCUCGAACCAGGAAAUAAAAAUCGGUAUGCUCCCACUAUGUCCACUGCUAAACCCUCCGGUUCAUCGAAAAAAACUCGCACCUGAAAAAAAUCUACGAAAAUUAACCUACGCCCCGACCGCCGCCCGCGGGUCGCCCGCUCCCUCGCGCCCCUGUUGCUCCCUCCUCGAUCCCGAUCUGGAUCGAGGGGACGAGGAGCUCCUGCCUCCCCGAGACCCCGACGGCCGGCCUCCUCCUCGCCCCGCCGCUGCGUCCGGCGCCGCCACGGCCUCUGGAGCCAGGGAAGCCAUGGCCUGAGCUCGGCCUCGAGGUCCCCGCCGCCGUCUCCUGCAGCUUCUGCCCCGCCGCCUCACCGCCCGAGCUCGCCGUCGCGCCGCCGCCGGCUCUGGUCGCCUCCACCUCCGCUCCAGGCAACCCUCGGUCGCCGGCUCGCUGGAGCACGACGGCAGACGAUGGAUGCCUGGUUGUGUGCGACGGAUGCAGUUCUCACGCGCAAACUAGGGUUGGAGCCGCCAGCUCUUCAUCCUGCCCGCCGGCGGCGAGUCUUCCCGUCCCGUACUGCCGCCUCCCCGUUAUCACAGGUAUCUCCACCCCUUCCUCUUUCCCCCUCUUCUCUCCUCUCCCUUCUCCCUCCUCCAUCUCUGUUCCCUUCCCCCUCCCACCCCGUUAUCUGUUCAUGUUGUUGGCACCUGAAGAAGUUGGUGGCAUGGUGAAGCCCCUGAGCAAAAGUUGCAGGAGUCUUUGAAGGAGUUGGAGAAGUCUUAAACCUGAGUCCGAAUCCAAUUUCGUGGGAACAAGCAUAUAUUCCAUGAAUUUUCCAUUAGAUUCAGUGGACAGGUAAUGUCCUCAACGACACUUGCACACCCUAAACCCUAAAAGAAACAACUAGAUGCCUUGGGUAAUUUUGGCUGCAUCCGUCUUGGUUAGUUGGUUUACAUGUGAAUUCACACGUUUAAAGGGCAUGUGACCAUUAACUUUAUAAGUAUUUAUCCACGUUCUAAAGGAAUUAAAUAGGAUGCAGUAGUGCAGACAUUCAAAGGAGGUGGGAAGUGUGCAUAUGCUUUAUGUUAGUUAUAUGCACAGGGCAGCCUAUCAAUAUAGAGGUGUCAUUCAGACAGAGCUCUUUGAAUAUAAUAAGACAAAAGAUCGGGUUCCUGAUUUUUUUAUAAGAAGAUUCUUCUAUAUGUUCAGUUACAUGAUUUUUAAUUUGAUCAUCUUCUUUGAAAAAAUUUUGUGCUGACUAUGAUAUUUCUUUUGAUUUGUAGGUUCAUCUGGUCCUUUACUCCUCACAUAAUAACUGUGAAACUUAAUGAGGAACUUCUGAAAAAUGCUCCCUCCCCUCUGAUGUCUAUUUGGUUACUUAUGCUUGUGUGGUCUGGUUGUUCCUAAGUGCUUUCGGACAUUAUUAUUUGUGUGAUCAGCAUUGAGUAGAUUGCCUGCAGCAAGAUAACUUGAGUUUUUUUACUUAAGUAAACGAUAUGUAAAUAGCUCUAAGUUAACUGGACAUUUUGUCGCAUUGGCUUGAAUCUGCAUGUUGCAUCAUUUGUGCACAAUGAAAACUGUAUGAACCUGCAUUGGAUGGUGUAUUUGUAGGAAGGUUAUCCUUUCUUCAAGGACUGGAAGUUUCCUGGUAAGUGUUCCUUUUUCUUAAAAACUCUGUGUUUGUUCGCUGUAAUAUUUUGUUUACAUCAGGUUUCUCUUUCCUUUUGUGGGCAUAAUGGGCGAGACAAUAAUAUUCAGAAAGUUGUUGUUUUAGGGAAACUGCUAACUCCAUAUGUCAGACCCAUAUCAUUGUUGAGCAUGCAUAGUGUUCCUAUGUCAUUUCUAUGAUGUAUUUGUUUCCUUUUAUAUCACAGUAGUCUUCAUUUUGGCCAUGUACCUUCAAACUGAACCAAAAAUGGUUUGUCUGAUGACAUGUUUGAGGAGAUUCUUGAUAUGAAACAGUAGAUAUGAGGGUGACCGUUUUUUUUGCAAGUUUUGUCCGUGGAAUCUUUUUGCAGUUGAUAAGACAUGGGCUGGACUUACUUCCGAUCUGCAAUAUUUUCGGUAAAGUGAUUCAAGGAAACAAACAUCCACUGUGUCAAUCACUCAAGAUGGUGCAUGCAGUUUUCCUGAAAGUUAAGUCUGAGAGCCUGCUCCUACAUAAAGCUGGGUGACGGGACGACGGCCAAUUUCUGGGAGGACAAAUGGUUGCCGGGUGGGCGUUCCGUCUAAGACCUGGCACCAACACUGCUCACUUUUGUGCCCAAGAGCACAACUAGUCAUCUAGGGUUUGGAUGGGGCUGGGUUCCUACAACGACGGCAACAGAGGCGACAAACACCACUUUGCAACCUCGCCGAACUGUGUUGCUGAACUGAAGUGUAGGGACAGCAGCAGUUUUACCACCGAUGGUGUUGCAUGUAAGCUGGAUGUUCUCAUUGUUCUGUUGGCUCUGAUCGGUGUGUAUGCUAUGAAGUUAAGGUUCUUAAGAUUAAUGAUGUUUAUAGAAGUGAUGCAGGAUGUGAGGUACAACUAUCAAAGUGACAUUAAUUUUGGUUGUGAUUCCUAUCCGCAGCCUCUUCUACACUAGAGAAGGAAAACACUCGACGAUCUGGCUCUGUCUCAGGUAUAUGCUCCCUCGCCCGCAAGAUCCGCUCUCUCCCAUCUACGCAUCGCAACAGCACUUCAGCUCCUCUUGUGGAUUCUCACCAGAUCAGGCCACCUCACUCACCUUCAGGUUUGUAAACAGUCAUCCAUACCAUAGGGUCCAUCGGUGAAACAAAGCCAAUCAUAUGAAUUGAAGGAGCUACUGAAAUAAAGUGGAAAGAACAAAGAGAAAAUUGAAGAUUAUCUAUAUGAACAUUCCGAGAAUGGGAUAGGAGAGGUGGUUCUUCCCAACAGGAAAAAGAGUGGAGCGUCUGUCGUGAUGGACAAAGUUAAGAUCCCAACAAAAAGUGCUUCUUGAUGCUAUGAUGCAGCAACUUAACCUUCCAAAUUACAGUUUACUAAACAGACCUCGCCGGCAGAUCCCUCAGCUAUCAGGGAAGGCAGUCAUCAGCGGAGAUUGAGGGCGCCUCUCCGGCGAGAGUGCUCAUGUCGUGGUGGUUUUCCACCAGCAGCGUGGGGGAGGCGGUGUCCUCUGCAGCUAGGUCUACUUACUGGCGACCUCACCAUCACCAGCCCACCUGCAGAGCAUUUGUAAAGGGCAGUUGAUCUUCUCAUUGGUUUCAUUGGCGUUGUAUGCAGGGUCUCAAAAGGUCUGCUGUUCCUGGAUGGUGCGUGUGAUAGCUGCAUAUGAGGAUGUACGAAGGAUUUGGCUGCGAACUCAAUCAGACCAUUGGAUUGAAGCUGAAGGGGGCAUUGCAAAGAUACGAAGGAAUGGCCUUUCGUUCAUAACCUGGUCAGCUACACAACAUCUGGUCGUACAUGUUUCUGUUGCAGCGGCCCAGUUACGUGGAGAAGAAUGGCAUACGCUGAGGAUUGUGUCAGCUGAUUUUCUAACUCAUGUUUAGCUCAUGGAUUCUCAUUUAUCUCUUCAAUUUACACAAGGAGGUGCAUUAUCAGCUCUUAUGUAUUUUCUUAAUAACCGUUGAUAGGAAUGACAACUAUGUUGAGAUGUGGUAGACCAUUGAAUGACUUUUGGUCCAGAAUGAAAAAUAGAGGCAUAAUUAUUGUAAUUUUGUUGCUGCUAAUUUCUUUCAAACGAA
Non-coding RNA from Aegilops tauschii subsp. strangulata, 3789 nucleotides. The record is from RefSeq and is a predicted model, not a curated record. Lineage: Eukaryota; Viridiplantae; Streptophyta; Magnoliopsida; Poales; Poaceae.